Molecule: ribosomal RNA, 375 nt
Filed under: uncultured organism
Description: partial 16S ribosomal RNA
Rfam family: Bacterial small subunit ribosomal RNA
Source: RNAcentral
GUAGGUGGCAAGCGUUGUCCGGGAAUUAUUGGGGCGUAAAGCGCGCGCAGGCGGUUCUUUAAGUCUGAUGUGAAAGCCCACGGGCUCAACCGUGGAGGGUCAUUGGAAACUGGAGAACUUGAGUACAGAAGAGGAAAGCGGAAGUCCACGUGUAGCGGUGAAAUGCGUAGAGAUGUGGAGGAACACCAGUGGCGAAGGCGGCUUUCUGGUCUGUAACUGACGCUGAGGCGCGAAAGCGUGGGGAGCAAACAGGAUUAGAUACCCUGGUAGUCCACGCCGUAAACGAUGAGUGCUAAGUGUUAGGGGGUUUCCGCCCCUUAGUGCUGCAGCUAACGCAUUAAGCACUCCGCCUGGGGAGUACGGCCGCAAAGGCUG